This 424-nucleotide ribosomal RNA is filed under the name Meesia uliginosa. Its description in RNAcentral is "eukaryotic LSU rRNA". The stretch from base 1 to 89 matches the Rfam family "5.8S ribosomal RNA", at positions 65 to 154 of the family's 154-position model. The record is from RNAcentral. Lineage: Eukaryota; Viridiplantae; Streptophyta; Bryopsida; Splachnales; Meesiaceae.
GUGUGAAUUGCAGAAUUCCGCGAAUCAUCGAGUCUUUGAACGCAAGUUGCGCCCGAGGCUUGUCCGAGGGCAUUCCCGUUAGAGCGUCACCGCGCCACCCACCGCCCCGUUCCGAACGGGAGUCGAGUGGAACUGGCCGUCCCGACCGGGGACCUGACGAAUGGAAGGAAACCGGUCCGGUCGGCUGAAAUGGAUGGAAAUUCGGCCCCGCGGCGACCCGGCCCGCGAUCAGGUGACCCGCGCCCGCGAUUGACUUCGCGGUCGCGGUCUUCUCAAACGCGCGCGGUUUAGGGUCGCCCAGUUCGGUGUUUGUUCCGUACGAAGCAGGUCUUUUUUCCCCCCAAGGCACACCCCAAGGGGGGAAAAAAUAAAAUAUGGUCACGCAACGGACCUCUAAUCGGGAAAGAUCACCCGCUGAGUUUAA